Molecule: long non-coding RNA, 2028 nt
Organism: Papaver somniferum (opium poppy)
Lineage: Eukaryota; Viridiplantae; Streptophyta; Magnoliopsida; Ranunculales; Papaveraceae
Exons: 2
Source: RefSeq, a predicted model, not a curated record
UUCUUUUAUUCAAAUUCAGACAGAUGCAGAUGAAGAACUCAGGGAGAAGAUGGAAAUCGAAAUGAGGGUUUAUGAGCUUCAACUGAAAACAAAAUGGGUUCGGUAGAUUGUCUCAGACGGAUAGAAGACAUGAGCAGAUUUAUGAAGACCUAAGGUUCUACUGUAUUGAAUGAUUGAUAGAAUCAGCGCUAGGGUUUGUGUUGGAUGUAUGACUCUGUGACAGAUUUGAACAUUCGAAGUGAUUAAAGGGGAAGCUGAGCUCGAUUUCAAUCAUAAGAAAAUGGGUUUGAAGUAUGAAGACGGCAGAAUUGAAUCUGAUUGAAUUGGUUUUAAUGGAUUUCCGAAGUUGAGAAGAACAAGAAGUUGCUGCCAGUAUUGGUGUUAGGAAGGAAGAAAUUGAAAAUAUGGGUUCUCUGUGUAGUGGUAUUAUUGAAGAAUAGGAAUGGGAUCUGAUGAAGAUGAUGGCAAUUAGAAGGAAUGGGCUUGAAUUGAUUCCGCGAGAAAGAGAUGAAAACAGUAACUCCUGCCGUCGAUUGUGAGAGAAGAAAAUUAGAGUCUGUUAUUGAUUCAGGAGAUGAAGAAGAACAAUGGGUAUUGAGCAACUGGUAUUGGUGGUAUGUCUCUGGAACAGUUGGUAUUGAGCUGAUGAUGUUGGUUCAGCUGCUACUGUGUGCAGUAAUGAGAAUGAGCUGCAGGGAUUACUGUGGAGCUAAGAAGCUGAAAUGGUGGUGCAAAUAGUGCAAUGAGCUACAGAUGAUGUAAUUGGAGUUGAGGAAUGAUGAAAUGAUGGGUUUGUGGUGAAUUGACACAGGUGAACAUGAGAAGCAGAUGAGGAGUUUCAGGUUAUGCUUUGUGCUGAGAAAGGAGGAAGUUGGUUUCUGUGGUUGGCAGCUAGAAUUCGAAAUGGCUCGAGGUUGUGGCUAAAAGGUCAAGCCAACGGUGUUACUGCUAAUGAGAUGAGCUCUAAUUGCAAUUGCAGGGAGGAGAAGAACGAGAAUGCAACAGUGACAGAGGUGGUGGUGCUGUUAUGCUACUACAAUGGACUGGCAAGUAUAUGCAGUUACAGAUGGUAAAGGAGAUUUGUUGCAGUCGAGAAUCAAGUGGAGUUUCAAGACCCUCAAUCAAUCAAGUAGGGUUUAGGGAAGAUGGGUUGCAGCUGAGGACUCAAAGCUUGAGCAGGGGAGAUAAGUUGCAGCUGAACUAGUGGUGUUGGUUGCUAUUGAAGCUGCAGAAUGGAACUGGUGGUGUGGUUCGAUGGCUGGAGGAUUUAGCUGCAAUGGAGAUUGAAGACGAGAAGAAAGCAUGAUGUUGUUGGUUCAAUGACUAAGUAGACAUGCACAGAGUUUGGGAGCUGUUCUUGCUGCUGAGGUUUGCGAGCAGCUAUUGCAGGAGAUGAAAAAUAAGUAGAGAAGAAUUGAGAGUCUGAAGUGAUGGAGCUGUCAUGGCAGUGGUGGAAUUGGAGCUAUAGGAAAUAGAUGGGAAUGUGUUGCAAUGCAAUGAAGGCAAGGAUCUGUAGCUGUUGCUGCAAAUAGGAGCCUUGCUGCAUUAGAUAUUUGUGUGACUGAAUGGGUAUGAAUGCUAGAUGAAUGUUAGGUUUGCAGGGAAGAAGAAAAUAGCCAGAAAUUGGCCUGAUAAUUGUCUUGAAACAAAGGAGACUUUGUUGGAUUUUUCACUGUAGCGAGUUAACUCAGUGACCCGGUCCGACUCAGCUGACUGGUUCAACUCGAAUGGACUUGGACCUGCCUUGACUGGGCUUCAUUCAUGGGCUGCGCCAGAGACUGAUUUUUGGGCGUGACAGAAAUCAGUGGAGAAAGAAAAAAAGAGAUAAAAAGGAACUUUUGUCUCAAUUAUUUGAUACAUGAUCUUCUUCUACAACUUUGGUUUUCUAGGGUUUAGGAACAUGAUAGGUUUUCUCUUCCUUUUUGUUAUGAACUCCUAUGCUAUGAGUACCUAGUUUUAUUAUUGGUUUGAGGAAUAAGUUGGAUUUCCAAAUAUGGGUUUUUAUGAAAUGAAUUAGUUAUGUCUCCA